This 492-nucleotide ribosomal RNA is filed under the name uncultured bacterium. Its description in RNAcentral is "partial 16S ribosomal RNA". It matches the Rfam family "Bacterial small subunit ribosomal RNA", at positions 29 to 507 of the family's 1533-position model. The record is from RNAcentral.
AGUGAACGCUGGCGGUAGGCCUAACACAUGCGAGUCGAACGGCAGCACAGUAAGAGCUUGCUCUUACGGGUGGCGAGUGGCGGACGGGUGAGGAAUACAUCGGAAUCUACUUUUUCGUGGGGGAUAACGUAGGGAAACUUACGCUAAUACCGCAUACGACCUACGGGUGAAAGCAGGGGAUCUUCGGACCUUGCGCGAUUGAAUGAGCCGAUGUCGGAUUAGCUAGUUGGCGGGGUAAAGGCCCACCAAGGCGACGAUCCGUAGCUGGUCUGAGAGGAUGAUCAGCCACACUGGAACUGAGACACGGUCCAGACUCCUACGGGAGGCAGCAGUGGGGAAUAUUGGACAAUGGGCGCAAGCCUGAUCCAGCCAUACCGCGUGGGUGAAGAGGGCCUUCGGGUUGUAAAGCCCUUUUGUUGGGAAAGAAAAGCAGCAGGUUAAUACCCCGCUGUUCUGACGGUACCCAAAGAAUAAGCACCGGCUAACUUCGUG